Molecule: ribosomal RNA, 1432 nt
Filed under: Escherichia coli
Lineage: Bacteria; Pseudomonadati; Pseudomonadota; Gammaproteobacteria; Enterobacterales; Enterobacteriaceae
Description: partial 23S ribosomal RNA
Rfam family: Bacterial large subunit ribosomal RNA
Source: RNAcentral
ACCCGAAACCCGGUGAUCUAGCCAUGGGCAGGUUGAAGGUUGGGUAACACUAACUGGAGGACCGAACCGACUAAUGUUGAAAAAUUAGCGGAUGACUUGUGGCUGGGGGUGAAAGGCCAAUCAAACCGGGAGAUAGCUGGUUCUCCCCGAAAGCUAUUUAGGUAGCGCCUCGUGAAUUCAUCUCCGGGGGUAGAGCACUGUUUCGGCAAGGGGGUCAUCCCGACUUACCAACCCGAUGCAAACUGCGAAUACCGGAGAAUGUUAUCACGGGAGACACACGGCGGGUGCUAACGUCCGUCGUGAAGAGGGAAACAACCCAGACCGCCAGCUAAGGUCCCAAAGUCAUGGUUAAGUGGGAAACGAUGUGGGAAGGCCCAGACAGCCAGGAUGUUGGCUUAGAAGCAGCCAUCAUUUAAAGAAAGCGUAAUAGCUCACUGGUCGAGUCGGCCUGCGCGGAAGAUGUAACGGGGCUAAACCAUGCACCGAAGCUGCGGCAGCGACGCUUAUGCGUUGUUGGGUAGGGGAGCGUUCUGUAAGCCUGCGAAGGUGUGCUGUGAGGCAUGCUGGAGGUAUCAGAAGUGCGAAUGCUGACAUAAGUAACGAUAAAGCGGGUGAAAAGCCCGCUCGCCGGAAGACCAAGGGUUCCUGUCCAACGUUAAUCGGGGCAGGGUGAGUCGACCCCUAAGGCGAGGCCGAAAGGCGUAGUCGAUGGGAAACAGGUUAAUAUUCCUGUACUUGGUGUUACUGCGAAGGGGGGACGGAGAAGGCUAUGUUGGCCGGGCGACGGUUGUCCCGGUUUAAGCGUGUAGGCUGGUUUUCCAGGCAAAUCCGGAAAAUCAAGGCUGAGGCGUGAUGACGAGGCACUACGGUGCUGAAGCAACAAAUGCCCUGCUUCCAGGAAAAGCCUCUAAGCAUCAGGUAACAUCAAAUCGUACCCCAAACCGACACAGGUGGUCAGGUAGAGAAUACCAAGGCGCUUGAGAGAACUCGGGUGAAGGAACUAGGCAAAAUGGUGCCGUAACUUCGGGAGAAGGCACGCUGAUAUGUAGGUGAAGCGACUUGCUCGUGGAGCUGAAAUCAGUCGAAGAUACCAGCUGGCUGCAACUGUUUAUUAAAAACACAGCACUGUGCAAACACGAAAGUGGACGUAUACGGUGUGACGCCUGCCCGGUGCCGGAAGGUUAAUUGAUGGGGUCAGCGCAAGCGAAGCUCUUGAUCGAAGCCCCGGUAAACGGCGGCCGUAACUAUAACGGUCCUAAGGUAGCGAAAUUCCUUGUCGGGUAAGUUCCGACCUGCACGAAUGGCGUAAUGAUGGCCAGGCUGUCUCCACCCGAGACUCAGUGAAAUUGAACUCGCUGUGAAGAUGCAGUGUACCCGCGGCAAGACGGAAAGACCCCGUGAACCUUUACUAUAGCUUGACACUGAACAUUGA